Molecule: ribosomal RNA, 109 nt
Filed under: uncultured eukaryote
Lineage: Eukaryota
Description: partial small subunit ribosomal RNA
Rfam family: Eukaryotic small subunit ribosomal RNA
Source: RNAcentral
UGGGGGGCAUUAGUACUUAACUGUCAGGGGUGGAAUUCUCAGAUUUGUUAAAGACUGACUUAUGCGAAAGCAUUUGCCAAGGAUGUUUUCAUUAAUCAAGAACGAAAGU